RNAcentral lists this long non-coding RNA (639 nucleotides) under Nicotiana benthamiana. RNAcentral describes it as "long non-coding RNA (NBEN_LNC042236)". The record is from RNAcentral. Lineage: Eukaryota; Viridiplantae; Streptophyta; Magnoliopsida; Solanales; Solanaceae.
GAAAACUUUGGUAUAACUUUUCGCUGUUCUAUCUUGCUCAUUGCUUAUAUUUGUGGUAUGUACGCAUCUAUAAUUGCUAUUUGCUUUACAAAAUUAAUAUUCCUUCUUUUGUUUUUACAUUUUAUAUUACAAAAUGAGGAGAACUUUGUGAUUUUCCCCCUUAUGUUUAAGUUUUGUUAAGCUGGGUUAUUCACAAUUAUCAAAAAAAAAUAAUACAUACACAUAAACACUUAUAUAUACAUUCUUGGAUGUGAAUUUGUUCGACAAAAACUUGAUUAUCAUUGAAAUGUUUUCUCUUUAUAUAUGAAUUAAUAAGAAUAUUAUUUCGGUAACACUCACAUAUAUAUAAAAGAUUUAUAAGAAUAUUGAUUUUUCAGGCGUGUUUGUGAUGACACAAGUUUUCUCAGCAAAUGCUCAAAAUGUAUGUACCCAACGUGUUGAUGGUAUGACUCCUUGUUCGGUAGAAUUACCACUUUGCCAACAACAUUGCCACAAAUUUUUUGGACCACUUUAUGUUAAUUCAGAGUGUGAGGAUCAAGGCCUAGGGCAUACUACUUGUGUGUGUUACUACAAUAGUAACUUCCCUUGUAAACUUAAUUAGUUCUGUUUUUUUUUUUUAAUCAAGAAAAUAAGAUUAAU